This 336-nucleotide unclassified non-coding RNA is filed under the name soil metagenome. RNAcentral describes it as "partial contains 5.8S ribosomal RNA, internal transcribed spacer 2, and large subunit ribosomal RNA". The stretch from base 1 to 120 matches the Rfam family "5.8S ribosomal RNA", at positions 35 to 154 of the family's 154-position model. The record is from RNAcentral.
GAUGAAGAACGCAGCGAAAUGCGAUAAGUAAUGUGAAUUGCAGAAUUCAGUGAAUCAUCGAAUCUUUGAACGCACAUUGCGCCCGCCAGUACUCUGGCGGGCAUGCCUGUUCGAGCGUCAUUUCAACCAUCAAGCCCCCGGCUUGUGUUGGGGACCUGCGGCUGCCGCAGGCCCUGAAAACCAGUGGCGGGCUCGCUGUCACACCGAGCGUAGUAGAUUUUCAUCUCGCUCAGGGCGUGCUGCGGGUUCCGGCCGUAAAAAGCCUUAUUUACCCAAGGUUGACCUCGGAUCAGGUAGGAAGACCCGCUGAACUUAAGCAUAUCAAUAAGCGGAGGA